UACCUCCUGACCAGAUUUGCAGGGAUGGAAUUAGAAGGGCGAGUGUUGAGGAGGUGAGAAGCAAGUUGAAGCCGAGACAUCGCAAGAAGGGAGAAGACAGCAUGCUCUUUUUGAGGCGUCGUGAGAUUGUUGACUCACAGAGGAUGUGGUGAGAUGUGUCAAGAGUGAGGUUAACCGGUGACCUGUGUCCAGACCGCACAAGGACUGCCUAAGUGAAGGACAGCAGGAAGCACAGAGGUUUUCCCUGGGGGUGAGGAGGUAUCAUGAUGCUGGAUAUGCUCUAGAAGAAUCGGUCCCACUGGCCUCUUGAGAAUGGGUUGGCGGAGCAAGACCAGACCAGGUUGUGAUUACCCAGGUGCUUGGUUCCUGGUUGGUGAUCUGCCCAGCGAGUCCAGCAGCUUCCUAAGGACAGGAACUGACCCCAGCAUGGUGCUGGAGUUCAC
Molecule: long non-coding RNA, 443 nt
Organism: Talpa occidentalis (Iberian mole)
Lineage: Eukaryota; Metazoa; Chordata; Mammalia; Eulipotyphla; Talpidae
Exons: 3
Source: RefSeq, a predicted model, not a curated record